RNAcentral lists this ribosomal RNA (484 nucleotides) under uncultured bacterium. RNAcentral's name for it is "partial 16S ribosomal RNA". It matches the Rfam family "Bacterial small subunit ribosomal RNA", at positions 30 to 507 of the family's 1533-position model. The record is from RNAcentral.
AUUGAACGCUGGCGGCAUGCUUUACACAUGCAAGUCGAACGGCAGCGCGGGCUUCGGCCUGGCGGCGAGUGGCGAACGGGUGAGUAAUGCAUCUGAACGUGCCCAGUAGUUGGGGAUAGCCCGGCGAAAGCCGGAUUAAUACCGCAUACGACCUGAGGGUGAAAGCGGGGGCCCGAAAGUCCUCGCCCUAUUGGAUCGGCCGAUUUCUGCUUAGCUAGUUGGUGGGUUAAAGGCUUACCAAGGCGACGAUCCGUAGCUGGUCUGAGAGGACGACCAGCCACACUGGGACUGAGACACGGCCCAGACUCCUACGGGAGGCAGCAGGGGGGAAUUUUGGACAAUGGGGGCAACCCUGAUCCAGCCAUGCCGCGUGCGGGAAGAAGGCCUUCGGGUUGUAAACCGCUUUUGUUCGGGAAGAAAUCCUCUGGGCUAAUACCCCGGGGGGAUGACGGUACCGGAAGAAUAAGCACCGGCUAACUACGUG